UUUCUGCAAUGAUGAAUUAUGAAUUCAAUCACAUGUCAGACUUCAGAGAUUCCUUUACACAAAGGAAUCAAUGAGAUUACAUUCAUAAGUCUGAGCAGAUA
This is a small nucleolar RNA of Cynara cardunculus var. scolymus (artichoke), 101 nucleotides long. RefSeq annotates it as small nucleolar RNA R64/Z200 family. Lineage: Eukaryota; Viridiplantae; Streptophyta; Magnoliopsida; Asterales; Asteraceae. The record is from RefSeq and is a predicted model, not a curated record. The transcript has a single exon.